GUGUCAGCAGCCGCGGUAAUACGGAGGGUGCGAGCGUUGUUCGGAAUUAUUGGGCGUAAAGCGCGCGUAGGCGGCUCUUUAAGUCUCACUGUGAAAGACCGGGGCUCAACCCCGUAGUAAGCAGGGGAUACUGGAGGGCUGGAGACAGGGAGAGGCGAGUGGAAUUCCGGGUGUAGCGGUGGAAUGCGUAGAGAUCCGGAAGAACACCAGAGGCGAAGGCGACUCGCUGGCCCUGAUCUGACGCUGAGGUGCGAAAGCGUGGGGAGCGAACAGGAUUAGAAACCCGUGUAGUCC
This 294-nucleotide ribosomal RNA is filed under the name uncultured bacterium. RNAcentral describes it as "partial 16S ribosomal RNA". It matches the Rfam family "Bacterial small subunit ribosomal RNA", at positions 505 to 796 of the family's 1533-position model. The record is from RNAcentral.